RNAcentral lists this transfer RNA (72 nucleotides) under Camelus bactrianus (Bactrian camel). It matches the Rfam family "tRNA". Rfam says of the family: Transfer RNA (tRNA) molecules are approximately 80 nucleotides in length. Their secondary structure includes four short double-helical elements and three loops (D, anti-codon, and T loops). The record is from Rfam by way of RNAcentral. RNAcentral also lists the same sequence under 2 other names. Lineage: Eukaryota; Metazoa; Chordata; Mammalia; Artiodactyla; Camelidae.
GAAGGUACAGCUCAGUGGUAGAGCGCAUGCUUUGCAUGCAUUAAGUCCUGGGUUCAGUCCCCAGGACCUCCG